Molecule: long non-coding RNA, 2632 nt
Organism: Glycine soja
Lineage: Eukaryota; Viridiplantae; Streptophyta; Magnoliopsida; Fabales; Fabaceae
Exons: 9
Source: RefSeq, a predicted model, not a curated record
GUGUCCGUCCCUUGGCAUUCAAAAGCGUCGAAAGAAACCUAACAACAUAGCGUUCUCCUUAAACCCUAGACGUCGCUCGUGGCUUCUGAGAAUGUAAGCCCCGAGACAGUAUCCAAAGCCGUCGAUGCUCUCCUCAAGUGGCGGCGCUCCCAAUUAGAGAUUCAGAAACCAAAACUCUUGGACGAAGACGAAGAAUUCGUGUACCUGAUCCUCACGCUGAAGAAGAUCCCUUCAAAAUCCUGAGUUAACCCUCACAAGAUUCCUCUCCUACACUCCUUCAUCUCCCCUUUCUCCGAGCAGUGCCUCAUCCUCGAUGAUCGGCCCAACAAGGCCCGCAUCACCAAAGCCCAGGCCUAAGCCAAAAUCUAGUCUAAAUCCGUCCCCGUCCCCAAAGUCCUAAAGCUCUCGAAACUCGCCUCCGAUUACCGCCCCUUCGAGGCGAAGCGAAAACUCUAUGAUUCUUAUGACUUGUUUUUUGCAGAGAAGAGCAUUGUGCCGCUCCUGCCGCGGCUUCUGGGGAAGAGUUUUUUCAAGAAGAGGAAGAUUUCGGUGCCGGUGGACCUGAAGAAGGGGAGCUGGAAGGAGCAGGUGGAGAGGGCCUGCUCGUCCGCCAUGCUGUUCAUGAGGACGGGGACUUGUAGUGUGGUUAGGGUUGCCAAGACUUGGGCAAUGAAGCUUGGGAGGAAUGUUCUGGUUCUAACACAGACAACUAAUUCCAGAUCACUAGCUUUUCUUUCACAAUCAUUGAAUGAAGUAUGGUUCUGUAGCAGAGACAAUUGCAUAUGACUUAGUUUUGGAAGUUGCAAUGAAAAUCCAGGGAUUUCAGCAAAGGAAUUUAUUGUUGCACGGUUCAUGGAAAUGGUUGUUGACAUAGUUUGCAUCUUAUUAUGGGGUAUCUGAGAUAUAUACCAAGCUGCGAUAUCUAUCUUAUGUCAUGGAUGUGGCUACACCUACAGCAGACUGCCUUAACUUGGUGUAUAACCUGCUAGCACCUGUUAUCAUGAAGGGCAAUAACAAGACUUCUUUCAGCCACCAGGAGAACCAAAUACUAGGAGAGACCAAUGAUCAAAUUAAACAGAUACUUACACAUGUUUUUGAGAAUUAUAAAUCACUUGAUGAGUAUUCUUUCUCGGGCAUCAUAGAGGUUUUCAGACCAGCAACGGGUCAAGCAGCACCAGCCUUGGAACCUGCUGCUAAACUCUACAAGUUUCUUCAUGAUAUCUUAUCUCCUGAGGCUUAAAUUGCAUUUUGUCAUUAUUUCCAGGUUGCUUCCAUAUACAACACAAAGCUUUGCAAUAGAUUACGGGCCUUCCUCAUAUAUUGUCCACCGAUGGGCCUAUCAUCACCACCGAUGGGCCCAUCAUCACCGAUGAACCUUUUGAUUUUGAAGGAUACUUCAAAACUGGUGAAAUGGUCAGGAGUUAGAACACAACAUUCUACUACUCCCUUUGUUGAUGAUAUGUAUGAGCGGCUGAAGGAGACAUUGACAGACUACGAGGUCAUCAUUUUCCGCUGGCCGGAAUAUACCUUGGUCUUAGAGAAUCAAGUCGUUGCUGAUAUUGAAAAGGCCAUUGUGGAAGCUUUAGACAAUCAAUAUGCGGAUGUAAUGAACCAGGGGAAUGAACAUUGAUUUCCUUCUUUAGGAGGUGACAUCGAAUAUAGAGGUAGGAAUAGCUUCUCUGAGAGAGAACCAUGCAUAAUCAAAAAGAGCAAAAUAGGUAUAGAAUUACCCCCAUUCCAUUUCUUGAACCAUGUCCAUUUAAAGAUCUUGAUGCUAUUUAAAAUGCUGAGUUUUUGCAUAAAAUUUUCAUUGUAAUGAACAAAAAAGUUUAGCAGGAGCACAGAUCAGGUGAGGUAGGCAAAAAUGAAUCUUGACCAUCCUCGAAUUAUAGAUGUGCAGAAUUAUAGGUAUAUUGCUUCUCUGAUUUUACCUUCUUACGAAUAAAAAAGGCCUUAUUCAUAUUUUCACUAGUGUCUCUUUUCUCUGUAAACAACAUUUUUGUGGCUACAUGGAAUGUAGUUGGAAGAUAAAAAAGGCCUUAUACAAAUUAAUUUGUCUGAAUGUGGCUGCUAACUUGAUCAAUAUAUGGGGAUUUCAUAUUUCUUUUCUCUAGAUGAUAUACUAUAUCUCUUUCCACAUUUGACAUUCAUGCAUAUAUAAUUUAACCAGAGCAAAAAUGGUAAGCACUAAUCUCAUAUUGCAUGUUCUUUAGUCUUUAAUUUGUCAUCUACUCCUAUGUCUUCUUUACUAGUUAAUUAAUGUUUGUUUGUCUCAACUUUAAGCUAAUAAUGGCACUGGCAUUGUGUCAUGAAGACAAAAAAUGACUGGGAACUGCACUUCAAGCACAACAACAAACCGAAUACACAUACAUAUUUCCUUGGAAGUUUAGAUUGCUGGAGGAGCUUGAACGUGGUGAACAACUCAUUGGAGAUGGCACAAUUAGCUAUGGAGGACAUAUUGACCCAACUGAAGAAGGAAAUGGUCGCACCUUGGAGGACAUACCUUGGAUCGAAUUGCAUAUUUGUUGUAUGCAAUAUAAGAGUUAAUGCUUUGUGGAUCCAUCCUUCUUAACUCUUUUAUAUAAGUAAUAUUUUCCCUUAUAAUUACAAAAGUGCUUUCAAUUUUAGUCUC